This is a long non-coding RNA of Nannospalax galili (Upper Galilee mountains blind mole rat), 346 nucleotides long. RefSeq lists it as uncharacterized. Lineage: Eukaryota; Metazoa; Chordata; Mammalia; Rodentia; Spalacidae. The transcript is spliced from 3 exons. The record is from RefSeq and is a predicted model, not a curated record.
UCUCAUUGAGGCUGGAACUUGCUGAUUGAAUUAGACCAGCCACCAGAAACCCCUGGGGAUCCUCCCAUCUCUCCUGGAACACAGGGUUGAAGAGCACUCCUGAGCUGGGAGGAGAAGGUGUAGGUCACAGGAGAUGCCUUGGUGAAGGAGAGAGAUUUUUAGAGAGGAACACAGACAUGAGAGGAGGAGGAAUGAGAUGCUUUUCUAGCAAUAUCAAAGGCCAUAUCAUCCCACCAGUUUUGAAAUGGAGACACAACACUAUGUAUUAGCCCUAUAUUAGAAUUUAUAUUCCAUAAUGGAGAAUGGAGGAAAAGUGAAGUAACCAAGGGAAGAAUGUGAAGGUAUA